This is a long non-coding RNA of Cornus florida, 249 nucleotides long. RefSeq lists it as uncharacterized. The transcript is spliced from 2 exons. The record is from RefSeq and is a predicted model, not a curated record. NCBI's taxonomy places the organism in Eukaryota, Viridiplantae, Streptophyta, Magnoliopsida, Cornales, Cornaceae.
AAUAAAGAUCUAAAGAAACAGAUUGAUAAAGGCAAAAGGAAAGCUUUUGAAAGCAAUUCUGUCAUCACUGAGCUUGAGAAGCAGAUUAUCAUUCUUAAGGAUAAGGUCAAUAAAGUUAAAACGAGGUAAAAAUGGUUUCUUAAGGCCUUUUUGGAGUCAAACUAAGUAUUAGUGAGAAUUUGGAGCAAAAUGAGGCUGAUUUGGAGCAAAAAGGAGGCUGAUGCUGAAAGCUGAAAAGUGAGAUCGAUC